CCUACGGGUGGCAGCAGUGGGGGAUAUUGCACAAUGGGGGAAACCCUGAUGCAGCGACGCCGCGUGAGUGAAGAAGUAUUUCGGUAUGUAAAGCUCUAUCAGCAGGGAAGAAAAUGACAGUACCUGACCAAGAAGCCCCGGAAAACUACGUUCCAGCAGCCGCGGUAACACGUAGGGGGCAAGCGUUAUCCGGAUUUACUGGUUCAAGGGAGCGUAGACGGUUAUGUAAGUCUGGCGUGAAAGCGCGGGGGCCAAACCCGGGACUGCUUUUGAAACUGGGUAACUGGAGUACAGGAGGGGCAGGCGGAAUUCCUGGUGUAGCGGUGAAAGACGUAGAUAUCAGGAGGAACACCGGCGGCGAAGGCGACCUGCUGGACUGAAACUGACGUUGAGGCUCGAAAGCGUGGGGAGCAAACAGGAUUAGAUACCCUAGUAGUC
Molecule: ribosomal RNA, 438 nt
Filed under: uncultured bacterium
Lineage: Bacteria
Description: partial 16S ribosomal RNA
Rfam family: Bacterial small subunit ribosomal RNA
Source: RNAcentral